GGGGUAAGGAGUGUCUAACGGAUACACAGAGUUUCAUUUUGGGAAAAUUAAAAACUUCUGGAGAAGGAUAGCAGUGAUAGUUGUACAAGAACAUGAAGAAAUUUAAUGCCCCUUAAGUGUACACUUACAUAUGGCUAAAAUGGUAAGUCUUGUUAUGUAUAUUUUACAAUAAAAAGUAUUUUUUGUUCCUGUGGAUUUAGUGAUCCCUGUUUGUCAGGGAUGAAAUGAGGUUCUGAGGUCACACCACUGAUCAGAGGUAGAGUCAGGAUUUAAACUGAGUGAUGUGGAUUCAUCACCCCCAUCCUGUGUGAGAGCUUCAGAGAGUUGCUCCCCACCCCCAAUAUUCCCCACACUAGGGAACAAGAUUUAAGUUUCAUCCAGAUACCUCCAGGCCUCUGAGGGGGAAUCUGCUAAAUUCUCAUGUCUUCUUAGCUGCCCAGAUGACCACAAUCACCAAGGGCCCUACCACCACUGUCACCACCACCACAAGGGACAUGAAUAUGGAAACCAUGGUCAAGGUCGCACUGCCCAUUGCUGUGUUCAAAACUGCAAUUUUGGGACUGGUUGUCUACCUCUGGUGGAAGAGAAGCAAAGGAUGAAGUGCAGGAUGACAGCAGCAUCCUCUAUGCCUCCUUCACCCUCUCCAGCUCCUCCCUGCACCCCUCCCAAGGAGAGCCCGCAGGAGACCUUGUACUCUAUCGGAAAGGCCCAGUGAGCAGGACUGAAUGGGGACUCCCUGAGACUAAGCUGCACAGAAGGUCACAGCUUCUAGUAAUAACCCUGGCCAGACACAGACAAAAGCCAGUGGGUGUGGAAGGCCACCAAGGACCAGAGAGAAACAGAGCCAUCUGCUUCCAUUCCCUCUUCAACUGCCCAGCCCUUGCCCACAAAAAUAAAAGUACUAGUAGAAUUUGCCUGAAGGCACCUAAGGAGAAACUGAUGGCAUCUUCUGUCUUUUCCUUCUCGCCAAAAAUGAGCUGUAAAAGUAGCUCACACCCAAGAUCCCUCCUCCAGGGCUGGUGUUCAGUGACUGCCUUCAGGCCAGGUGGGGGACACCAAACACUGGCAGCCAGCCCAGAGCCCAGACUCUGCCCCCUUAUCUAACCAUUCUACUUCUGCUACCAUAACAUGUACCGCGUUAAGUGCAUCACUCAUGUAAGCAUCACCAGCAACCUUAUACAGUCCUGGAUGCACUCACCGGAGGCGUGAAGAGAAGACCCAGAAUGGUUAGUGCUUUUCUCAAGGCCACACACCUAGUAAGUGGCUGAGCCAGGUCUGAACCCAGACCUGCCCUUCUCGACGGCCUCCUCCCAGGACUUGGGUCUCACUGCCUUCCCAGAUC
Molecule: long non-coding RNA, 1342 nt
Filed under: Lynx canadensis (Canada lynx)
Lineage: Eukaryota; Metazoa; Chordata; Mammalia; Carnivora; Felidae
Description: lncRNA (ENSLCNG00005021144.1)
Source: RNAcentral